CCUACGGGAGGCAGCAGUGGGGAAUAUUGGACAAUGGGGGGAACCCUGAUCCAGCCAUGCCGCGUGUGUGAAGAAGGCCUUUUGGUUGUAAAGCACUUUAAGCGAGGAGGAGGUACUCUAGUUAAUACCUAGAGAUAGUGACGUACUCGCAGAUAGACCAUUC
This 163-nucleotide ribosomal RNA is filed under the name uncultured Acinetobacter sp. RNAcentral describes it as "partial 16S ribosomal RNA". It matches the Rfam family "Bacterial small subunit ribosomal RNA", at positions 338 to 495 of the family's 1533-position model. Lineage: Bacteria; Pseudomonadati; Pseudomonadota; Gammaproteobacteria; Moraxellales; Moraxellaceae. RNAcentral also lists the same sequence under 1 other name. The record is from RNAcentral.